Molecule: long non-coding RNA, 578 nt
Organism: Megalops cyprinoides (Indo-Pacific tarpon)
Lineage: Eukaryota; Metazoa; Chordata; Actinopteri; Elopiformes; Megalopidae
Exons: 5
Source: RefSeq, a predicted model, not a curated record
UGUCCCAAUCCACUUACUUUGAGUUUUUUUGGGUCAAACAGACUCUGGAGGAGGUGCCAGUGUGCGUGGCCAUUGCUCGGUCCGCUGCGUCCAGUAUCAAUUACUGUGAAAGUUUCAACAACCACACCAGACUCAAAGUGAUCAAGAGCGAUCAUGCCUUUAAUCUUUCCCUCUCCAACAUCCAACAGUCAGAUGUAGCCACUUACUACUGUGGAGCUUACCUUUUUAAAAACCUAUUUUUUGGAAAUGGAACCAGCGUUAUUCUUGAAGACAAAACAAACGUAGCAUCUGAAUUUAACAAGACUAGUGACGUAAACAUGGGAAAAUCAGGACAACCCUCUGUGUUUUACAUGGUGCUUGUUUUGGUUGUAACAAACACAGCAUCUGUCAUUGUGAUCGGGGUCCUCAUUUAUAAGGGGAAAAGGAAGCUCUGCUCUGGAGCUUCCUCAUUAUCCAACAUGGCUGACAAUAUGGACCACCAGCAUGCAGACACACUGAAUUAUGCAGCUUUGAGUUUUGGUCACAGCAGAAGUGGGAGAGUGAGGAGAGAUCUGGACCCUGCUGUGGUCUAUGCAGGA